RNAcentral lists this ribosomal RNA (605 nucleotides) under Penicillium colei. RNAcentral's name for it is "LSU rRNA". It matches the Rfam family "Eukaryotic large subunit ribosomal RNA", at positions 1 to 609 of the family's 3401-position model. Lineage: Eukaryota; Fungi; Ascomycota; Eurotiomycetes; Eurotiales; Aspergillaceae. The record is from RNAcentral. RNAcentral also lists the same sequence under 1 other name.
UGACCUCGGAUCAGGUAGGGAUACCCGCUGAACUUAAGCAUAUCAAUAAGCGGAGGAAAAGAAACCAACAGGGAUUGCCCCAGUAACGGCGAGUGAAGCGGCAAGAGCUCAAAUUUGAAAGCUGGCCCCCUCGGGGUCCGCAUUGUAAUUUGCAGAGGAUGCUUCGGCAGCGGUCCCCGUCUAAGUACCCUGGAACGGGUCGUCAUAGAGGGUGAGAAUCCCGUAUGGGACGGGGUGCCCGCUACCGUGUGAAGCUCCUUCGACGAGUCGAGUUGUUUGGGAAUGCAGCUCUAAAUGGGUGGUAAAUUUCAUCUAAAGCUAAAUAUUGGCCGGAGACCGAUAGCGCACAAGUAGAGUGAUCGAAAGAUGAAAAGCACUUUGAAAAGAGAGUUAAAAAGCACGUGAAAUUGUUGAAAGGGAAGCGCUUGCGACCAGACUCGCCCACGGGGUUCAGCCGGCAUUCGUGCCGGUGUACUUCCCCGCGGGCGGGCCAGCGUCGGUUUGGGCGGCCGGUCAAAGGCCCUCGGAAUGUAACGCCCCCCGGGGCGUCUUAUAGCCGAGGGUGCCAUGCGGCCUGCCCGGACCGAGGAACGCGCUUCGGCUCG